This 494-nucleotide ribosomal RNA is filed under the name uncultured bacterium. RNAcentral's name for it is "partial 16S ribosomal RNA". It matches the Rfam family "Bacterial small subunit ribosomal RNA", at positions 28 to 507 of the family's 1533-position model. The record is from RNAcentral.
GACGAACGCUGGCGGCGUGCUUAACACAUGCAAGUCGAACGGAAAGGCCUGCUUUCCCUUGUGUGUUGCGGGUGCUCGCGUGGCGAACGGGUGAGUAACACGUGAGUGAUCUGCCCCCAACUUGGGUAUAAGCCUGGGAAACUGGGUCUAAUUCCCGAUAGGACUGCAGGGUGGUGCCUGUGGUGGAAAACGAUUUUCUAGUGGUUGUGGAUGAGCCCGCGGCCUAUCAGCUGGUUGGUGGGGUAAUGGCCUACCAAGGCGGUGACGGGUAGCCGGCCUGAGGGGGGGGACCGGGACAGUGGGACUGAGCGGCCGCCCUGGGUCUGAGGGGCGGCCCAAGCUCCGAAGAGAGGAAGAAGUGGGGAAUAUUGAAGCAGGGGCGCCGCCCUGAUGAAGCCGCGCCGCGUGUAGGAAGCUGGUCUCGAGAGCGUGGAAGCCUCCUGUUGGGGAGGGUGGUGACGGUAGUGGUAGAAGAAGCGACGGCUAACUACGUG